CAAAAAUAUAAUAUUCUAGCUACACGUUAGCUUAUAUAUUUUACCCACUUAAAAAUAACCAACCAAAAUAUUAAAAGCAAUUAUUAAAGUACAAAACAUACGCGCAAGUAUUUAUUUCUUACGAGUUUCCAAAUAAAUUUGACUCUAGGCAGUCUUCCCGUACAUUUUUCUCGUUGUUUAACAACUUUGCAGCAUGUUAGUCUUGAGAAGAAGGAUAAAACACUCACGAUUGGGUUUGGCGUAAAAAUAAAAAGAACUGAAUGCUUGGAAAGUCACAGGGAAAGUAAAACAAUUGUUUCAUCGAAUUGUAUUCAAAUCUAAAGAGUACGUUGUUUGAGUCUAUCGUGCUUAAGGCGUUAAUCGUUUGGGAUCGCGCGGGAACAUGGAAGUCUUGCGGAUGUUGUCCAAUCCCAGAUACAGCAUCACCACACGCUCCAUUCCAAUGCCACCACCAGCAUGUGGAGGACAUCCAUAGCGGAAGGACUCGAUGUACGCCGCAAUCUUGGAGUCUUAUCAUUGUUUACCGAGAGAUCUUGUGACUAAGCUGACCUUACGAGUUAUUUACUACGUGUAGGGGGUACUCACCAAUGCCAUGGUGCUUGGCUCGUUCGAUUAAGUACUCGGGAUCGUGGAUACGCUGCGCGCCGGACAGGAUCUCCUCGCCGCGCAUGAACAUAUCGUAAGAGUUGGAGUAGACCGGAUUGUUUGGAUCAGGCAUCGUGUAGAAGGGCCGUAUCGCUAACGGGAACUUGUCAAGGAUGUAGAAGUCAGUGUCGUACUUGGCCUUGACCAGGCGACCCAACAGCUUUUCGUUGGGCGUAGACAGAUCCUCCUCGUCGCCGGUCUCCACACCAGCCUCGCGCAACAUGGCCACGCCAUCGGCGAACUGGAGGAUCAGUGGUGGCUCCAGGAACUUGAAGGCAUCCACCUUGUACUGCUGGCCUACAGAUUCGAUUUCCUUAGCGUACUUAUCACGCAGUCCCUUGAAAAUGGACGUAAACGUGUUGCCAAUCGUGUGCAGCACCUCGUGGUAGUGGUACUUAAAGGCCAUUUCCAGAUCAAGGCCUACGAACUCGGUCAAAUGCCGAUGAGUGUUCGAAUCCUCUGCACGGAACACGGCUCCUACGGUAUAGACCUUGUCAAAAUCGGCGGCGAUGGCCAUCUGCUUGUACAGCUGCGGCGACUGCGCCAGAUAGGCUGAAUCCUUGAAGUAGCUCACGGUGAACACAUUGGCGCCUCCCUCACUGGCCGCUGAAAUGAUCUUCGGCGUGUGAAUCUCUGUGAAGCCCUGCUCAGUGAGAAUAUCGCGGAACAGGCGACAUACUCCGGCUUCCAGUCGGAAAAUGGCCUGAUUUGCCGGGGUCCUCAGGUCGAGCACUCGGUUGUCCAAGCGCGUGUCCUGGUUCACGCGAAUAUUCAGACCUUCCGCAUCAUCGGCGUUCUCGGGACGCGAUGCAUCCUCGAUUUGCAAUGGCAACUGUGCCUUGGCCUGGGAUAUUACGAAUAUCUGCUCGACGGACAAUUCCAGCGACUGCUCUGUGCAGGAUUCAAUCUUGCUAGACACCGCCACUGGCUUGGCCUGGAUAUCAAUAAUGCUCUCCUUAGGGAUACUGAAAAAAUAAAGACGUUUUUGAAUUAUUAAAUGAAUUAUUAAAUUUGCAACAACAAAAAUU
This is a non-coding RNA of Drosophila melanogaster (fruit fly), 1673 nucleotides long. Lineage: Eukaryota; Metazoa; Arthropoda; Insecta; Diptera; Drosophilidae. The record is from Ensembl.